Lytechinus pictus (painted urchin) is the source of this 349-nucleotide long non-coding RNA. RefSeq lists it as uncharacterized. The transcript is spliced from 3 exons. NCBI's taxonomy places the organism in Eukaryota, Metazoa, Echinodermata, Echinoidea, Temnopleuroida, Toxopneustidae. The record is from RefSeq and is a predicted model, not a curated record.
CUCGGCAGAUUGUGAUCAAUCAAGACAAGGCAAACAUGGCUCACAAUUUUGAACUGCUGUGCCGUCUUGCAAGAGAGUGAGAUUCAGCAACACAUAGAAAGACCACAGCAUGGAUUAAGAGACAGGAAGAAUCCAUUUGAAUACUACGAGGAUGAACCCCUCAGAGUGGGGUACCAACAGAGAGGACCACACAUUGCCUGUCAUGUUACAGGUUUUGACAGGACUUUGUUUUUAUGCCAUUGGUACCUUUUAGAAGAUGCAAGCAGACGAAGCAACUAUAUCACAGUCAUCCGUGUGCAGAAUCAUCAAAGAUUUUUCUGAGGCAAUAGCAAGGAGUAAUAGUUAAUGA